Molecule: long non-coding RNA, 14215 nt
Filed under: Coffea arabica (coffee)
Lineage: Eukaryota; Viridiplantae; Streptophyta; Magnoliopsida; Gentianales; Rubiaceae
Description: long non-coding RNA (CARA_LNC003813)
Source: RNAcentral
AGUAAACGCACAUAUCUUAUUUUAACACAUUCACAAGCUUACGUAAUUGAAGAACACCAAUAGUGUAAUUUACUAAUAGUGUUUUCAUUUAGAUUGACAUAUUGGCGAAACAAGAAGUGCAUAAAGAAACGUCAUACAUUGAUUACCAAGUACAUAUAAGUUCACAAUAACGAUAAAAAUCUAAACUUGGUUUUCUUAAUUAUUAUUUUUCUUUUAUUAGUUAUUUUUUCCCAUCCUCCUAGAUGGAUUUCUUAGUAAGAUAGUCGAGUGAACAAAUAGUUCAUAAGAAACAUAUAUCACCAAGUACGUAUAUGGUCUGUAAUUGGCUUCCUUAUUAUUAGUUUUUCCUUUAUUAUUCAAACUUUCCCUCCUCCUGGGCAUGGGAUUACGGUAAUACCGCCCCUUAUAACCGUAUUAUUCCGUGCCGGCCUUUGUACAACUGCCUGAAAAAAUGCAUAUCCCCGAGCAAACCUAAACGAUUUGGUGCCACCAACUACUGGAACUUCUCACGCCGUACCACCAACUUGUAAGUUAUAUCCUGGUCCUUGGAAUUCCAAUGUGCUACCGUUGUAUUGGAAGUUGGAGAAAAGGAGGGAAAAUACGCCCUGUGAGCUUGAUCCAUAACGGGAUGAAGCUAUAUAAAUGCCUUGGGCCCGACCAAUAGUUGGACAAUUGUUGCUGAUGCCUUGUGUCAUGUUAGCAUCAUUAACAAUAAUGGUUCCAAAAUUGGAGGGAGUUCUCGGCAUACCAGGGGCGCCGGCAACUGCAACACUGGUGGUAUUUGGUCCGCCCGUAAACAGUUGAAUGUACACAGUAAUAUUUGUUUCCUUUCCACGGCAGCAACGGCAAGAAGAUUAGCUUCUGAACAAACAAAAAUUGCUAGUAAUAGGGCAAGGGAAAUUUGGAUGGAUGCUAAAGCUGAACCUUUUGCCAUCUUGUAUGUUGAAAGGCUAGCUGAAAAACAAAGAAGGAAGAAAGAAAUUAGUUAAAUGGUGAAGAUAAUUUGUUCAAUGACCGUAUUUAUAGGAUGGAGGAGGUAGCAGUUGCAAAUGGUUAUAGUAGAACAAUUAAAUCAAUCUUGACUUUUGAUUUCUCCACAUACAAAUGGUUUAAAUGAAAUAAUAUUACAUUGCAAAGAGUUAGGUAUAGUACAAAAAGUUUUAAAAGACAAUUAAACAUCAAUGGGUGGCCACCUAUCACAAUAGGUGAGUCUAAUGGUGUGGUGUACUCAGCAGAUAUAUCAUUCAAAGUUCAGAGCCAAGAAUUUCUUUUGAUAUAUAGUGGGAUAAUGGAAAAACUUGAAAACAUGAAACACAUUUCCCUAAAAAAAAUGAAACACAUUCAAUAAGGUUCUGGAAAAGGAUUAACUCCACUCUGCAUUUUCAAACUUGUACCACUUUAACAAGGUUCCGAACAUACACUCAGUAGAUAAAUCAAUGUUGACUUUUGAUUUUUCUGCAUAUAAAUGUUUUAAAUGAAAUAGGAUUGCAUUUGCAAGAGUUAGGUAGAGCAUAAAAAGUUUUAAAAGAGAAUUAAACCUCAAUGGGUGGCCAACUAUCAGAGUAGGUUAGUGUAGAAUGGUGUGGUAUACACGGUAGAUAUAUCAUUCAAAAUUCAUAGUUAAGAAUUUCUUUUAGUGAUGGUAAUCCAGGAGGGUGCCCGCGGGCAAACGGGGCCGGGGAGGGACGGAGAAUUUUUUCCCACAUUAAAAAACGGGGCAGCCGGCGAGGGAGUAUACCCCCAUCCCAUCCCCUGCCCCAUCACUCGUUAAAAACAAUUAAAUUUAUAUGUUAUAAUUAUAUAUGUGAUAUUUAAUUUAAUUAGUUUCAAAUUUAUAAUAAUGGUAUUAUUAGUUAUAAGUAUUAUAUAAUGUAUAUUAGUAUUUGUAAUAUAAUUGAUAUUAUCAAAUGCUAAUAAUUAUACAUGUCUACUAAUAGAAAUUGUUACUUAGUUAUAUCAAAUUUACUAAUACAUUUAUACUAAAUUCCUAAUUAUACUUAACACAAUAACACUUUUUUUCUCAAAAAAUUCACACAACAAUGAUUUAGUGAUUGUAUUUCUAUCAAAAGUGAAAACUUGACUACUUUAGUUGUGUUUGUUUCAUCAUAUUGGAUUGUAUUUAAAUAACUUUUGUUUGAUUGUUUUUGUGACUUACAAUUGUGAAAUUACAAUGAAUAAUGAUUUGGUGAUGUGUUGGCAUUUAAGUAUUUGAUCCUCUGGUCAAAUUUGACUAUAAUGAAAUUGUAUGACAAAUUUUUAUUCGCCCUGUGGGUGUGCCCAUAGGGAAGCGGGGCAAGGCGGGGACGAGGUAGGGGAGGAGUCCCCCGUCUAACCCCCACCCCAUUGCCAUUCCUAAUUUCUUUUGCUAUAUAGUGUAAUAAUGGAAACCUUGAAAACUUGAAACACAUUUACCAAAAAAAAAUGAAAUACAUUUAACAGGGCUCCGAAAAAUGACUAACUCCACUUUGUACCUUCGAAUUUGUAUCGGUUUAACAAUGUUCCAAACUUAUACUCAAGAGAUACAUCAAACUUGACUUAAUGGUUUAAAUGAAAUAAGAUUACAUUUCAAGGAGUUUGGUAGAGCAUAAAAAGUUUUAAAAGAGAAUCAAACCUCAAUGGGUGGCCACCUAUCAAAGUAGGUUUGUGUAGAAUAGUGUGGUAUACAUAGCAGAUAUAUCAUUCAAAGUUCAGAGUCAAGAAUUUCUUUUGCUAUAUAUAUAUAGUGAGAUAAUGGAAAGCCUUGAAAUCUUGAAACACUUUUACCUAAAAAACAAAUUACAAAACAAUGAAACACAUUUCACAAGGUUCUAGAAAGAAUUAACUCUGCUUUGCACCUUCGAACUUCUACCACUUUAAUAAGGUUCCGAAUUUACAUUGAGUAGCUAAAUCAAUCUUGACUUUUGAUUUUUCUCCAUAUAAAUGGUUUGAAUGAAAUAUGAUUACAUUUCUAAGAGUUAGGUAGAGCGUAAAAAGUUUUAAGAGAGAAUUCAAUAUAAAUGGAUAGCCACCUAUGAAAGUAGGUUUGUAUAGAAUGGUAUACUUUGCAGAUGUGUCAUUCAAAGUUGAUAGUCAAGAAUUUCUUCUGUUGUAUUGUGGGAUAAUGGACAACCUUAAAAACUUGAAACAAAAUUACCUAAAAAAAAAACAAGGAAACACAUUUAAUAAGGUUUUGGAAAAGGAUUAACUUAACUUUGCAUCUUCGAACUUAUCCCACUUUUUCAUUUUAUACUUUAAAUUUUAAUUUUGAACACUUUGCACCCUAAGCUUUACUUUCACCUUUUAGUCUGGGGCCAUUCAUGUUUGCAAAUUGCAUAAGAGCCACUCAUUUUCUUGUUAGUUACGUGUAGUAAAAGGCUUUUAGCAUCCUCACAUUAAAAAAUUAAUUUAAAAAAAUGUCCAAGUAUAGGCUUCAAUUUUGUAGUUGAAAUUGAAAAUGUUCACAAAUGUUUAGCUAUUUAAACGCCAUAUAGCUAGGCUUCCAACCUCCUAACCCUAAAAUUUAGGGGGUUUGGGGGGAAAGGGAGGGUUGGAUGAAGAACAGAGAUUGAAAUAAUAAAUCUUUUGUAGCCUUCAUUAAGACAUUGAUCGAACAAGAGAAUGUCUGACGAGAAAUUAGAAUGAAACAAAUACCUUAAUUGCCCUAACGAAGUGCAAUUGAAUAUAGAUCUCGAGAAUGUAAUUUCUGUUGAUUUCUAUGUAGCUGGUUGUUGUACAAUUUGUCUUAAGAGACAAUCAAAUACCCCCAAAAUUCGCCGAAUUCCUAACAGUUCACAUAUCUUUUGGAGUCGAAUUACAAGUCUACGUAUGUCUCCCCUAUUUAGAGGUAAAAAUAAUAAAAAAAAAACUCAAAAAUUGACUUUCCUGAUAAUAUGUUUUUGCUCCGUCCAAUCCACAUAGGUUUAUAUACGAUUCAGCAUUAAAAUUGAAGAAAAGCUCAAAAGUUGACUUUCCCGAUUUAUAAGGAAUUGACUAACUAUUUUGUGGCCAAACCAUUAUCCAUCUUGACCAUCUAAAUGGUGAAUUGCACUUUAAGCUUAAUGCUCAACAAAACAGAAGUUCUUAACCAUGUUAAGGAAAAAUAGAUGGAAAGGUCUUUUGUCACCUUUUGUUAGUUGUGGUAGUUAUAUAGCAGAAGGAUUACCAUUUGUUAAACUGAGUAAAAGAUUAUUUUUCAUAAAGCAAGUUCGAUGUACAUCAUAUGUAAAACAAAAGUUAUGAACAAUAAAGACUACCUUACAAUAAGACUUGGUGUACAAUUAUCAGUUCAAGCGAAUUCCACAAUUAGGUGAAGAUUUUAUCUAAGUUUCAAUACACAUCUUUAUUAGUAAACGCACAUAUCAUAUUUUAACACAUUCACGAACAUACGUAAUUGAAGAACACCAAUAGUGUAAUUCACAAGCUUACGUAAUGCGAAGCCAAGUGUAAUUGAAGAACACCAAUAGUGUUUUUAUUUAGAUGGACAUAUUGACGAAACAAGAAGUGCAUGAAGAAACGUCAUACAUUGAUUACCAAGUACACCUAAGACCACAAUAACGAUAAAAAUCUAUACUUUGUUUUCUUAUUUAUUAUUUUUCUUUUAUUAGUUAUUUUUUCCCAUCCUCCUUGAUGGAUUUCUUAGUAAGAUAGUCGAGUGAACAAGUAGGUCAUAAGAAACAUAAAUCACCAAGUACGUAUAUGGCCUGUAAUUGGCUUUCCUUAUUAUUAGUUUUUCCUUUAUUAUUCAAAAUUUCCCUCCUCCUGGGCAUGAGAUUACGGUAAUAUCGCCCCUUAUAACCGUAUUAUUCCGUGCCGGCCUUCGUAGAACUGUCUGAAAAAAUGCAUAUCCCCGAGCAAACCUAAACGUUUUGGUGCCACCAACUAUUGGAUCUUCUCUCGCCGGACUACCAACUUGUAAGUUAUAUCCUGCUCCUUGGAAUUCCAAUGUGCUACCGUUGUAUUUGAAGUUGGAGAAAAUGAGGGAAAAUAUGCCCAGUGAUCUUGAUCCAUCACGGGAUGAAGCUAUCUCAAUGCCUUGGGCCCGACCAAUAGUUGGAGAAUUGUUGCUGAUGCCUUGUGUUAUGUUAAAAUCAUUAACAAUAAUGGUUCCAAAAUUGGAGGGAGUUCUCGGCUUACCAGGGGCGCCGGCAACUGCAACACUGGUGGUAUUUGGUCCGCCCGUAAACACUUGAAGGUACACAGUAAUAUUUGUUUCCUUUCCACGGCAGCAAUAGUAAGGGUCAAGACGAUUAGCUUCUGAACAAACAAAGAUUGCUAGUAAUAGCACAAGGGAAAUUUGGAUGGAUGCUAAAGCUGAACCUUUUGCCAUUUUGUAUGUUGAAAGGCUAGCUGAAAAACAAAGAAGGAAGAAACAAAAUAGUUAGAUGGUAAAGAUAAUUUGUUCAAUGACCGUAUUUAUAGGAUAGAGGAGGUAGCAGUUGCAAAUGGUUAAAGUAGAACAAUUAAAUCAAUCUUGACUUUUGAUUUUUCUACAUAUAAAUGGUUUAAAUGAAAUAAUAUUACAUUUCAAAGAGUUAGGUAUAGCACAAAAAGUUUUAAAAGACAAUUAAACAUCAAUGGGUGGCCACCUAUCACGAUAGGUUUGUGUAAUGGUGUGCUGUACUCAGCAGAUAUAUCAUUCAAAGUUCAGAGCCAAGAAUUUCUUUUGAUAUAUAGUGGGAUAAUGGAGAACCUUGAAUACAUGAAACACAUUUCCCUAAAAAAAAAUGAAAUACAAUCGAUAAGGUUCUGGAAAAGGAUUAACUCCACUCUGCAUUUUCAAACUUGUACCACUUUAACAAGGUUCCAAACAUAUACUCAGUAGAUAAAUUAAUGUUGACUUUUGAUGUUUCUGCAUAUAAAUGGUUUAAAUGAAAUAGGAUUGCAUUUGCAAGAGUUAGGUAGAGCACAAAAACUUUUAAAAGAGAAUUAAACCUCAAUGGGUGGCCACCUAUCAUAGUAGGUUAGUGUAGAAUGGUGUGGUAUACACGGCAGAUAUAUCAUUCAAAAUUCAUAGUUAAGAAUUUCUUUUAAUGAUGGUUAUCUAGGAGGGUGCCAGCGGCCAAACGGGGCUCGGGGGGAGGAAGAAUUUUUUCCCCCAUUAGAAAACGGGGUAGCCGGAGAGGGAGUUUACACCCACCCCAUCCCCUGCCCCAUCACCCGUUGAGAAAAAUUAAAUAUAUAUGUAUAUAAUUAUAUAUGUGAUAUUUAAUUUAAUUAGUUACAAAUUUAUAAUAAUGAUAUUAUUAGUUAUAAGUAUUAUAUAAUUUAUAUUAGUAUUUGUAAUAUUAUUGAUAUUAUCAAAUGCUAAUAAUUAUACAUGUCUACUAAUAAAAAUUAUUAAUUAGUUGUAUCAAAUUUACUAAUACAUUUAUACUAAAUUCCUAAUUACACUUAACACAAUAACACUUCUUUUCUCAAAAAAUCACACAACAAUGAUUUAGUGGUUGUAUUUGUAUCCAAAGUGAAAACUUGAUUACUUUAGUUGUGUUUGUUUCAUCAUAUUGGGAUGUAUUUAAAUAACUCUUGUUUGAUUGUUUUUAUGACACACAAUUGUGAAAUUACAAUGAAUAAUGAUUUGGUGAUGUGUUGGCAUUUAAGUAUUUGAUCCUUUGUUCAAAUAUGACUACAAUGAAAUUGUAUGACAAAUUUUUAUUCGCCCUGUGGGUGCGCCCAUAGGGGAAGCGGGGCAAGGCGGGGACGGGGUUGGGGAGGAGUCCCCUGUCUAACCCCCACCCCAUUGCCAUUCCUAAUUUCUUUUGCUAUAUAGUGUAAUAAUGGAAACCUUGAAAACUUGAAACACAUUUACCAAAAAAAAAAAAUGAAAUACAUUUAACAGGGCUCCGAAAAAUGACUAACUCCAUUUUGCACCUUCGAAUUUGUACCGGUUUAACAAUGUUCCAAACUUAUACUCAGGAGAUAAAUCAAACUUGACUGUUGAUUUUUCUGCAUAUGAAUGGUUUAAAUGAAAUAAGAUUACAUUUCAAAGAGUUUGGUAGAGCAUAAAAAAGUUUUAAAAGAUCGUUAAACCUCAAUGGGUGGCCACCUAUCAAAGUAGGUUUGUGUAGAAUGGUGUGGUAUACAUAGCAGAUAUGUCAUUCAAAGUUCAGAGUCAAGAAUUUCUUUUGCUAAAUAUAUAGUGAGAUAAUGAAAAACCUUGAAAUCUUGAAACACUUUACCUAAAAAACAAAUUACAAAACAAUGAAACACAUUUCACAAGAUUCUGGAAAAGAAUUAACUCCGCUUUGCACCUUCGAACUUCUACCACCUUAAUAAGGUUCCGAACUUACAUUGAGUAGCUAAAUCAAUCUUGACUUUUGAUUUUUCUGCAUAUAAAUGGUUGAAAUGAAAUAUGAUUACAUUUCUAAGAGUUAGGUAGAGCGUAAAAAGUUUAAAGAGAGAGUUCAAUAUAAAUGGGUAGCCACCUAUGAAAAUUGGUUUGUAUACAGUGGUAUACUCAGCAGAUGUAUCAUUCAAAGUUGAUAGUCAAGAAUUUCUUCUGUUGUAUUGUGGGAUAAUGGAAAACCUUAAAAACUUGAAACAAAAUUACCUGAAAAAAAAAAAACAAGGCAACACAUUUAAUAAGGUUCUAGAAAAGGAUUAACUUGACUUUGCAUCUUCGAACUUAUCCCACUUUUAAUUUCAUUUUGUACCCCAAAUUUUAAUUUUGAACACUUUGCACCCUAAGCUUUAAUUUCACCUUUUAGUCUGAGGCCAUUCAUGUUUGCAAAUUGCAUAAGAGCCACUCAUUUUCUUGUUGGUUACGUGUUGUAAUAGGCUUUUAGCAUCCUCUCAUUAAAAAAUUAAUUUAAAAAAAUGUCCAAGUAUAGGUUUCAAUUUUGUAGUUGAAAUUGAAAAUGUUCACGAAUGUUUAGCUAUUUACACGCCAUAUAGGCUUCCAACCUCCUAACCCUAAAAUUUAGGGGGUUUGGGGGGAAGGGGAGGGUUGGAUGAAGAGCAGAGAUUGAAAUAAUAAAUCUUUUGUAGCGUUCAUUAAGACAUUGAUCGAAUAAGAGAAUGUCUGAAGAGAAAUUGGAAUGAAACAAAUAUCUUAAUUGCACUAGAGAAGUGCAAUUGAAUAUGGUUCUCGAGAAUGUAAUUUCCGUUGAUUUCUAUGUAGCAGAUUGUUGUAAAAUUUGUCUGAAGAGACAAUCGAAUACCCCCAAAACUCGCCGAAUUCCUAACAGUUCACAUAUCUUUUGGAGUCGAAUUACAAGUCCACGUAUGUUUCUCCACCCUUGUGAUCAUCCCCCAGAAUACACAAUUUGACAAGAAACUCAAUCUGACCGCAUUGAAACUGGACAAUUGGGAUGCAGGACUUGAAGAAUCUUUUUCUACAUAAAACAUCUUAUAUGAUGUUCUUUUAGCCAUUUCAGUUACCUCAUACCAACUACUCAAACAUGAAAGCAUUAGAAGGGACAGGAGAGCAAGUAUUAAAAGCCACAAUCAGUCAAUGCACAUCAUUUUCUUACAAAUUAGUAUAUUUAAAGAGCUAUUGGAAAAUGACACUAUCUAAGCACAAGAAAAACUGAUUAUGAUUUCAUCAAUAAUCACAGCUUUCAAUGGAGCUGUCAAAGAAGAAUUGCAACCUCUUAUUGAUGAAUUUAUUGAAAUAGGUAAACUACUAAAGAAAACGACUUUAAAUCUAGAGGAGAUAUGAUACCUUCAUAAAAGUUCAUCCUCCACUUUUGUGAAGACCAAUAAAUAGGGUAAAGUGAGCAAAAAAUUACAAUAAAACUGGCAAGGGGAAAAAGCGAGAGAACACCAAAACAUCAAAACGUACCUUCAAGACUGAAUGAAGAAAAGUAGCUUCCUUUUUCCUUUGCUCCUUCAUCUAACAAAAAUUUAGAAUAAAUAAAUGUCAACAAAAUCAAAUUUAUUGGGAAAAAGAAAAUAAAAAUGACAUUAGAUUAACUUUUUCUAGGGAAAAAGAAAUAGAGAGCCUAAACAAUCUCAUCUUCAAAAAAGAAUUUACAAAUCUUAAUAUCUCAACCUAUUACAAACAUUUGAAACUUAUUGGAGCAUAGAUAAUUAAUAUGUUAGAACAUCAAAUCUAGCAUAGGGGAUGCGAGACCACAAUAGGAAACAAAACAAUAGUAAUAAAGCCUGAGGAUUAGCAAGAAGAGAAGAAAUUGUGUUCCCCAAACAAUAACCAGCAUUCAGCACUAAACAUCUGAAUGCAUUUUCAAUUUUUCAAAUCCAGCUCAUACUAAUGCAAUACUUAUUCAAGCAAAAUAGAUUAGUUUGUAAUGCCAGCAGAUAACAAAGGACCUAAAAGUCAAAAUAUCAAAUUGUUAAACCUUGAAAACUUACAAAGUUACUUUUUGUUGUCCGCUUAUGUGGUGACUGCAUCUUUAUGUACCUUGAAUAUCAAGAACAUGACUGGCAAGUGUGAGAGAAUGAGUCCCAAGAAUAUGCCAAUCAGGUCAUAUUCUGCCACCACCUUCACUUCCAAUAUUACAUGCUCAACCUGAAAUUUUGCAGGAUUAAAGAAUUUAAAUCAUCUUCUCAAUCAGAAAUUACACAAAUUAACAGCAAAGUUUAAACAACAAAAAAGGUCAUAUUCUGCUAAAAUAUAAAUAUAAUGUGGCAUAUAAAGGAGAGGUAACAAUUUUAAGCAUUCAUUAGUCAACCUUUCUUAACUUCCUAGACAUUAGACAUUGACUAAAUAGUUGAUUGCACAAUAUAAACAACUACAAUAUGUAUCCAUAUGUAAAACAAUGUAAUAACUAUUAUUUGUGUCAGCAAAAUGACACCAUAAAUACAAAAACAAUCUAAAACAAAAUUAAGUCCAAAAGAAAAGUCAUGCAAAAAAGUCAAAACAAUUACAGCAAUUUUUUUGUCCCACUGUUAAUUCAACCAAGACUUGGUACAAGAUGAAAACAAUAUUUGGCAUCAAGGACACUACAAGAUGAAAAUGUAAAUUAUUAAGAUUAAAUGUAAAUGAUUAUGAACAUCCACUUGAUAAAAAAUGAGGAACUAAGAUACAAAGGACAUCUCGAUGUUUCAGGGAAAAUGAAGUUCUGCUUAAUAGAGCUUAGAGUCAUAAAGAUAUAAGCCGAAUCAUUGGAAACGCUAGCAUUACCAAAAGUUGUCCUUCCUUUUCGCCUAUCCUAAUAACUUAUCCCCAAUCCAGAUAGGCAGUUUGUGGAGUGUCAUUACUAGCACCAAUCCUUUUGAUCAUCUACUAAUGCAUUCUAAGUUUUUAGGAAUUGCACUAAUAAAGAUAUUACAUUAGUAACAAACAUAGUCAUCCAACGCACAGAAAACCAUAAUGCAUAAUACCUUCCAAUUAUGUGAAAUUUACCAUUUUGAAAUGGUUCUCAGAAAAACUCAAUAUUUUCACCUGCAAACCCAGAAAAAAGGAUAUUAUUCACAUAAAUAAAAAAAAAGGAAAAGUGCAGAAAAUUUCAAAUAGUGGAAGCCAAAGGCUGAGAAAUAUAUGCAUUGAAUUUGAGAAGGAGAAACACCUAGAUUUAACACUCCAACCAUCAAAAAAGUCAAUGAAUUUCAUCAUUCAUAUGGAAAGGAAUUCAGCUAUUACUCCAAAUAUCUUAAUUAGAUCGACAGCUUUUGCUGCACCAGAAUUCACUGUUAAGCCUCUAAUGUAAAAUUUAAUAGGGAUACUAUGAGUUAUAUCAGGUUUCACCUUUGUACUCUCCAACAAGUUUCUUUUAUUUAAGAAAAAAGACAAUUAAAUGCAUGUUAAAUCAUAGCAAAAUGAUCUGAUACUCAAAUAAAAAAAUAGAGAAAGGUGAACUGCAAAACAACGAUUUUUUCACUUUUAGCUAUGUAACAAAAAAUGUGAAAGGCAAAAAAAAAGUGUGCUUUCAACGUGAAUUUUGACAAUAUUAUCUAUCCCAGAUGUAAAUAGUCAAGUCCAUAAAUUGUUAAUUAGGCAUACAACAAAACAAACUAUUGAUAACUUUUAAUUCGAGCAUGUUACCUCAUGCAAUUCACAUUGAACUCAUCUAGAGUAAAGUUCAUUAAUCUUAGUGCCUCUAGAGAAUUGCCGUCACUAACUCUUUAAGCUUCAUAGUCGUCUAGCUCAAUCAAACUAAAAAAGAAUUAAGCUGAACAAAUUAGUCAAGUAAAAAAAAGGAUUAAAAGAACAAAACAGAAACCAUUUCUACAGGUAUAGAGAUACAAGAGAUUUUGAGCUACUAACUAAAAAGAAAAGGGAAAAACUAUAACAGUGUAGCAAUGUGAUACAUUUCCUAGUCAGGGGGUAUGCAAUUUAAAGUUGUUUAGAAACUGUUCAUCGUAAUAUUCCAUCCAUAUUUGAUUUUGGAGAUUUUCCUUGUAUUUUAUGUGCAUGCAGGUCAAUUUUACUUCUUCCACUUGUAGUUCAAAUUUCUUUGACAACAGUGCCAGCCGACCUUCAGAAUGGUACUUUUUCAAGUCAACAUAGACGUAUUACACCAGUGACAAAAACUUCUCAUACGGAAAUAUUGGUGGAGUUUUGAUCAAGAUAAGCAGAAUCAAAACAUCAAGGCACCACAGAUUGCCUAAAAAAAAAAAAAACCUGCUAUAGCCGGAUAAUGCUCAAAACAAGAAAUAGCAAAGUCACUAAGCACUAAAUUUGGAGUAAUUUACCUAACCCUAACAGUUAACGAAAAAAGUUCCCUACUUGCUCCUUUCUCUGGCAAAUACUUGAUCCAUUCUCUAACAAAAAAAAAAUGGGCAACAAAACUUGGUUAAAUAAAAUCAUAGAAUGUUUAUAGCACAACAACACUAUGGUUCAAGUGAUUUUUCCAUCAUCCCUUCAACCAUCAUAACUGUAGACACUCAAGAAUAAGAGACAAAAAAUAUUCCGAUGGAUCUGAGAGACUUUAGAGAUAGUUACAAAAAGAAAAAAAAAAAGGUCUUAUCAAAGAAAAAAACCUUGAGUAGAACAUACCUCCGAAGAAAAAGAAUAAAACCAAGUACAUCUGCAAGCCAUUUGUUCUUAUCUCAGAGAAAACAAAAAGAGGGAACAAAAAAAAAAAGGAAAUAAAAAGGUCAGAAAAAAUAAAAAUAAGACCGAGGCCUACAAAAUAACAAGAUAAUUAUGGGAAAAAAAUACAUGAAAUUGUUUGGCAUCACACAAGAGCAAAUAGACAAAGAAAAAAACCUGAUAUGAUGAGAUUCAUCUUCAGCCUCCAAGAGAAAUACGGGGGUGGGAAGUGGACAAAUAGUGAAAAAAUAUAGGGAAAAAAUAGCGAAGAGAGGUCUUGCAGAAGAGUAAAAUGAGAAGCUGGAGAUAUAUCUAAGGGGGAAGCGUAAAAUGGGAAAAAGAGGUCUUGUAGAAGUGGAAAAAAAAAAAAAUAGGAAAAAAUUUUAAUCCAAAUCUACAGAGGAAAAAUGAUCACCUCAGGAGUUUUCUUGCCUGUGGAAGAGGAAGAUGGCAGAGGAGAAGAAAAGGAGAGAGAAUGGCGGAAAAAGAGAAAAACGAAAAGCGAAGCAGAAGAAGAAGAAGAUGAAACGGAGAGAAAAAGAGAAGAAGAAUAGAUGAACAACUUGUGCCUUGUGGUCUCAAGCCCAUCACUCCGAAAAAAAAAAAUCAUGUGGCUUGGAAAAAAGAGAAGGAUAAAAGAAAUAGGAAAAACAAUAAAUGAAAGACAAAGAAAAUGGACGACAGCCUUUGCUUCACAAAGGUACAACCACACCCAAUUUUCAUCCACGCGGUCACGUGAUCUCCUCGUGUAGGACGACAACUUUUUAUCCAAUGCUGAAUUGACACAUCAGCAGCAACCACAAACCUGUUGCAAGUUUCCUAAGCACUUAGUCUACCUAAGGUUGAUUAACUAACUAUUUUGUGGCCAAACCAUUAUCCAUCUUGACCAUCUAAAUGGUGAAUUGCACUUUAAGCUUAAUGCUCAACAAAACAGAAGUUCUUAACCAUGUUAAGGAAAAAUAGAUGGAAAGGUCUUUUGUCACCUUUUGUUAGUUGUGGUAGUUAUAUAGCAGAAGGAUUACCAUUUGUUAAACUGAGUAAAAGAUUAUUUUUCAUAAAGCAAGUUCGAUGUACAUCAUAUGUAAAACAAAAGUUAUGAACAAUAAAGACUACCUUACAAUAAGACUUGGUGUACAAUUAUCAGUUCAAGCGAAUUCCACAAUUAGGUGAAGAUUUUAUCUAAGUUUCAAUACACAUCUUUAUUAGUAAACGCACAUAUCAUAUUUUAACACAUUCACGAACAUACGUAAUUGAAGAACACCAAUAGUGUAAUUCACAAGCUUACGUAAUGCGAAGCCAAGUGUAAUUGAAGAACACCAAUAGUGUUUUUAUUUAGAUGGACAUAUUGACGAAACAAGAAGUGCAUGAAGAAACGUCAUACAUUGAUUACCAAGUACACCUAAGACCACAAUAACGAUAAAAAUCUAUACUUUGUUUUCUUAUUUAUUAUUUUUCUUUUAUUAGUUAUUUUUUCCCAUCCUCCUUGAUGGAUUUCUUAGUAAGAUAGUCGAGUGAACAAGUAGGUCAUAAGAAACAUAAAUCACCAAGUACGUAUAUGGCCUGUAAUUGGCUUUUCUUAUUAUUAGUUUUUCCUUUAUUAUUCAAAAUUUCCCUCCUCCUGGGCAUGAGAUUACGGUAAUAUCGCCCCUUAUAACCGUAUUAUUCCGUGCCGGCCUUCGUAGAACUGUCUGAAAAAAUGCAUAUCCCCGAGCAAACCUAAACGUUUUGGUGCCACCAACUAUUGGAUCUUCUCUCGCCGGACUACCAACUUGUAAGUUAUAUCCUGCUCCUUGGAAUUCCAAUGUGCUACCGUUGUAUUUGAAGUUGGAGAAAAUGAGGGAAAAUAUGCCCAGUGAUCUUGAUCCAUCACGGGAUGAAGCUAUCUCAAUGCCUUGGGCCCGACCAAUAGUUGGAGAAUUGUUGCUGAUGCCUUGUGUUAUGUUAAAAUCAUUAACAAUAAUGGUUCCAAAAUUGGAGGGAGUUCUCGGCUUACCAGGGGCGCCGGCAACUGCAACACUGGUGGUAUUUGGUCCGCCCGUAAACACUUGAAGGUACACAGUAAUAUUUGUUUCCUUUCCACGGCAGCAAUAGUAAGGGUCAAGACGAUUAGCUUCUGAACAAACAAAGAUUGCUAGUAAUAGCACAAGGGAAAUUUGGAUGGAUGCUAAAGCUGAACCUUUUGCCAUUUUGUAUGUUGAAAGGCUAGCUGAAAAACAAAGAAGGAAGAAACAAAAUAGUUAGAUGGUAAAGAUAAUUUGUUCAAUGACCGUAUUUAUAGGAUGGAGGAGGUAGCAGUUGCAAAUG